This 497-nucleotide ribosomal RNA is filed under the name uncultured bacterium. RNAcentral describes it as "partial 16S ribosomal RNA". It matches the Rfam family "Bacterial small subunit ribosomal RNA", at positions 28 to 507 of the family's 1533-position model. The record is from RNAcentral.
GACGAACGCUGGCGGCGUGCCUAAUACAUGCAAGUAGAACGCUGAAGGGUGGAUCUUGCUCUUCUUGGCUGAGUUGCGAACGGGUGAGUAAGGCGUAGGUAACCUGCCUGGUAGCGGGGGAGAAAUAGCGGUAACGAUAGCUAAUACCGCAUAAAAUGGAUUAUCGUAUGAUACUGCAUUGAAAGGUGCCAAUGCAGCACUACCAGAUGGACCUGCGUUGUAUGAGCAAGAUGGUGGGGUAACGGCUCACCAAGUCGAAGAUAGAGAGCCGACCUGAGAGGGUGAUGGGCAACACUGGGACUGGGACUGGGCCCAGGACCAGACGGGAGGCAGCAGUAGGGGAUCGUAGGAAAUGGACGUAAGUCUGAGCCAGAACCACCGAGUGAGUGAAGAAGACUAUCGGACCGUAAAGCUCUGUCGUAAGAGAUGCACGAGUGUGAGAGUGGAAAGUUCACUAUGUGACGGUACCUUACCAGAAAGCGACGGCUAACUACGUG